RNAcentral lists this ribosomal RNA (396 nucleotides) under Triticum aestivum (bread wheat). RNAcentral's name for it is "partial small subunit ribosomal RNA". Lineage: Eukaryota; Viridiplantae; Streptophyta; Magnoliopsida; Poales; Poaceae. The record is from RNAcentral.
AUGUUCGCUUUCACUUUGAUGGGUGCUACUAUUGAACGCUCAUUUGGUGACAGUCGUGGACCUAAGAUUUUUAAGAUCAGUGGGCAAGUGUCUCAUCGUAUUGGUUCAUUGGUGACUAGCGGUGAUGAUACCCCUAAGUUUGCUGAGUUGUAUGUACAUGACCCAGCUAAUGAGAUUAGUCAUAGGAUGAAUGCCUUAAAUCCAGAUGAUAAGCCUAUUGGGGGUGUGGAUGGGAGUAUUGUGGUUGGUCUUAGAGACAUGCUUAAUGAGUUUAACCCAUUGGUACAGACCUUUCGGGAGGCGAGUAAGAUGAUAGAGGAUCGUGGUGAUGAACCCAUCGAGGAGGCAAUAGUCCACAGUUUAGUUUGCCUACAACCACUGGUCUUGCUACUUUAG